RNAcentral lists this transfer RNA (85 nucleotides) under Anaerolineaceae bacterium. RNAcentral describes it as "tRNA-Leu". The record is from RNAcentral. Lineage: Bacteria; Bacillati; Chloroflexota; Anaerolineae; Anaerolineales; Anaerolineaceae.
GCGCUGGUGCUGGAAUUGGCAGACAGGCACGCUUGAGGUGCGUGUGCCGUAAGGCGUGGAGGUUCAAGUCCUCUCCAGCGCACAA